RNAcentral lists this ribosomal RNA (25 nucleotides) under Thaumatophyllum solimoesense. Its description in RNAcentral is "Philodendron solimoesense partial 18S ribosomal RNA". Lineage: Eukaryota; Viridiplantae; Streptophyta; Magnoliopsida; Alismatales; Araceae. The record is from RNAcentral. RNAcentral also lists the same sequence under 5 other names.
CUGCCAGUAGUCAUAUGCUUGUCUA